AAAGCCAAUGGACAGGUUGUAGAAACAAGUGUGACGUCAAAGUUAGUAGGCCCACGUGAUGUUCUCGAGGUUUGGAUUCUCAAUUGGGAAGCCAUUGCUUUGCGGUGUACAUAGACUGGAAUGUUAGCACGUGCUGUCGGGGAGAAGAAAUACUUGAAAAUAUGCCAUUUAAAUGCUGUGUAACUGGUUGUCGGGGAAAUUAUAAAGGUACUGAAAAGGUGCAUACAUUUUCCUUUCCCAAAAAUGAUGCUCUUAGAGAGAGGUGGCUAAGAAAUAUACCUAGGAAGGACUUCUCAGCAACUCCAUAUUCUCGGGUGUGCCAUAAACAUUUUCAACCUGAUGACCUCAUCUGGGAAACAUCAGCUUUCGAU
This is a long non-coding RNA of Stegodyphus dumicola, 371 nucleotides long. Lineage: Eukaryota; Metazoa; Arthropoda; Arachnida; Araneae; Eresidae. The record is from RefSeq and is a predicted model, not a curated record.